RNAcentral lists this ribosomal RNA (771 nucleotides) under uncultured Neocallimastigales. RNAcentral's name for it is "partial large subunit ribosomal RNA". It matches the Rfam family "Eukaryotic large subunit ribosomal RNA", at positions 22 to 646 of the family's 3401-position model. The record is from RNAcentral. Lineage: Eukaryota; Fungi; Neocallimastigomycota; Neocallimastigomycetes; Neocallimastigales.
GUACACGCUGUGACUAGCAUAUCAAUAAGCGGAGGAAAAGAAACUAACAAGGAUUCCCUCAGUAACGGCGAGUGAAGCGGGAAGAACUCAAAUUUGAAAUCUUGAAAGGUCACCUUUCACGAAUUGUAGUUUAAAGAAGUGUUUUCUGUUACGAUCGUAAUAUAAGUUCUUUGGAAUAGGACAUCACAGAGGGUGAGAAUCCCGUCUAUGAUUGCGAUUUGUAGCUUUGUGAUACACUUUCAAAGAGUCGGGUUGUUUGGGAAUGCAGCCCAAAACGGGAGGUAAAUUUCUUCUAAGGCUGAAUAUUGGCGAGAGACCGAUAGCGAACAAGUACCGUGAGGGAAAGAUGAAAAGAACUUUGAAAAGAGAGUUAAAUAGUACGUGAAAUUGUCAAAAGGGAAGCGUUUAACACCAGUGUUGUUUUCUGAAAAUCAACCUCUGUUAGCUUUAUGCAUGUUUGUUUAGACCUAAUCAGCUAUCUUGCAUGUUCUAUUGUUUGCAGUGGUGCACUUUUCAGUUUACAGGUCAACAUCAGUUUUUUUUACCGUAAAAAAGUUAAAGAAAGGUAGCUCAUGGCUCCGGUCGUGAGUGUUAUAGUCUUUUUCCUAUGCGGUAGGAGAGACUGAGGUCUGCAGUGUAGGCUAUUUGGCUAGAUACUCAGGUGCUAUGUGAUACCAUUUCAUAAACAACUUGUUGAUUAUGUUUUGUCUAUUGCAUACUCGCUUGUACUAUCAUACCUACGCUUAGGAUGUUGAGUAGCGACAUACGCAC